RNAcentral lists this ribosomal RNA (495 nucleotides) under uncultured bacterium. RNAcentral describes it as "partial 16S ribosomal RNA". It matches the Rfam family "Bacterial small subunit ribosomal RNA", at positions 28 to 523 of the family's 1533-position model. The record is from RNAcentral.
GAUGAACGCUGGCGGCAGGCCUAACACAUGCAAGUCGAGCGCGAAAGUCUUCGGAUGAGUAAAGCGGCGAACGGGUGAGUAAUGCAUGGGAAUCUGCCUGGUAGUGGGGGACAACGUUUCGAAAGGGACGCUAAUACCGCAUACGCCCUACGGGGGAAAGGGGGGGAUCGUCGGACCUCUCGCUAUCAGAUGAGCCCAUGUCAGAGUAGCGAGUUGGUAGGGUAAGGGCCUACCAAGGCGACGAUCUGUAACUGGUCUGAGAGGAUGAUCAGUCACACUGGAACUGAGACACGGUCCAGACUCCUACGGGAGGCAGCAGUGGGGAAUAUUGGACAAUGGGGGCAACCCUGAUCCAGCCAUGCCGCGUGUGUGAAGAAGGCCCUUGGGUUGUAAAGCACUUUCAGUGGGGAGAAAGGUCUGGCACCUAAUACGUGUUGGAAUUGAUGUUACCCACAGAAGAAGCACCGGCUAACUCCGUGCCAGCCGCCGCGGUAA